CCUACGGGUGGCAGCAGUGGGGAAUAUUGGGCAAUGGGCGCAAGCCUGACCCAGCAACGCCGCGUGAAGGAAGAAGGCCCUCGGGUUGUAAACUUCUUUUAUCAAGGACGAAACAAAUGACGGUACUUGAUGAAUAAGCCACGGCUAACUACGUGCCAGCAGCCGCGGUCAUACGUAGGAUCCGAGCAUUAUCCGGAGUGACUGGGUGUAAAGCGUUGCGUAGGUGGCAUAAUAAGUAGCUAGUGAAAUCUGGUGGCUCAACCAUUCAGACUAUUAGCUAAACUGUUAAGCUCGAGACCGUUAGGGGCAUCUGGAAUUUCUAGUGUAGGAGUGAAAUCCGUAGAUAUUAGAAGGAACACCAAUAGCGUAGGCAGGAUGCUGGGACGGUUCUGACACUAAGGCACGAAAGCGUAGGGAGCAAACGGGAUUAGAUACCCGAGUAGUC
Molecule: ribosomal RNA, 445 nt
Filed under: uncultured bacterium
Lineage: Bacteria
Description: partial 16S ribosomal RNA
Rfam family: Bacterial small subunit ribosomal RNA
Source: RNAcentral